Molecule: ribosomal RNA, 424 nt
Filed under: uncultured prokaryote
Description: bacterial SSU rRNA
Rfam family: Bacterial small subunit ribosomal RNA
Source: RNAcentral
UGGGGAAUAUUGGACAAUGGGCGCAAGCCUGAUCCAGCCAUGCCGCGUGAAUGAAGAAGGCCCUAGGGUUGUAAAGUUCUUUCGGCGGGGAAGAUGAUGACGGUACCCGCAGAAGAAGCCCCGGCUAACUCCGUGCCAGCAGCCGCGGUAAUACGGAGGGGGCAAGCGUUGCUCGGAAUUACUGGGCGUAAAGGGCGUGUAGGCGGAUAGUCUAGUCAGGCGUGAAAGCCCCGGGCUUAACCUGGGAACUGCGCUUGAUACUGGCCAUCUAGAGUCCGGGAGAGGGUGGUGGAAUUCCCAGUGUAGAGGUGAAAUUCGUAGAUAUUGGGAAGAACACCAGUGGCGAAGGCGGCCACCUGGCCCGGUACUGACGCUGAGGCGCGAAAGCGUGGGGAGCAAACAGGAUUAGAUACCCCCGUAGUCC